GGGCCCGCACAAGCGGUGGAGUAUGUGGUUUAAUUCGAUGCAACGCGAAGAACCUUACCAGGGCUUGACAUCCAGAGAACUUUUCAGAGAUGAAUUGGUGCCUUCGGGAACUCUGAGACAGGUGCUGCAUGGCUGUCGUCAGCUCGUGUUGUGAAAUGUUGGGUUAAGUCCCGCAACGAGCGCAACCCUUAUCCUUGUUUGCCAGCGAGUAAUGUCGGGAACUCCAGGGAGACUGCCGGUGAUAAACCGGAGGAAGGUGGGGACGACGUCAAGUCAUCAUGGCCCUUACGAGUAGGGCUACACACGUGCUACAAUGGCGCAUACAGAGGGCGGCCAACUUGCGAGAGUGAGCGAAUCCCAAAAAGUGCGUCGUAGUCCGGAUCGGAGUCUGCAACUCGACUCCGUGAAGUCGGAAUCGCUAGUAAUCGUGGAU
Molecule: ribosomal RNA, 433 nt
Filed under: uncultured bacterium
Lineage: Bacteria
Description: bacterial SSU rRNA
Rfam family: Bacterial small subunit ribosomal RNA
Source: RNAcentral